Molecule: long non-coding RNA, 2546 nt
Filed under: Homo sapiens (human)
Lineage: Eukaryota; Metazoa; Chordata; Mammalia; Primates; Hominidae
Description: long independently transcribed non-coding RNA 2632, transcript variant 1 (LINC02632)
Source: RNAcentral
CUUCCUGCCAUGUGGUGACAGAUUAAAAGCUGCUAUACACUUUGGAACUGGAAACUGAGCUCCCAAUAUAAAGGAGAUAAGCCAUCAUGCUUACAAUAUGUUGUGCAGAGCUCACUGGUGGGCAGUUUUUCUUAACAAUGCAUCAGGACUUUUGCUAUUUGUAAAGGAAGCUUAAAGGAAGCUGAGAGUGCUGAGGGCACAUCUGAAACCACUGGAGGUUGGCGACGUGGAGGUCAGGACGGAUGCGUGGCCAGCCUCAGGUUGCUAAAUGUUAGGGUGAUCUGCCUUCCUUCUGGGGCGGUGAUUCUCCACUUGUAGAUCCGGCCAUGAGGAUUUAGGUUCGGGUAGUUGGGAGAAGUAGAUGUUCCAGCAGAGCCCUGAAGAUCCCCACCACACUCUGAUGUGGGGGAAGAAAGCCAAGAAAACUUCCAAUCAAAUCAAAAUGUCUCCUUCCAUCAGGAAAGCUCUCAAAAUUCAGGGUUGAUGUAAACAGAAGUGAUACCACAAGUCCAAUCCAAUAAUGGGAAACAAGAUGACGACCAAAUGGCACAUUCUGUAAUGUCACAUUAAUUCUUUUGGGACACUAUGUAAGAGCUAUCAGUUGCAAGCAAGUUUCAUCUCAAGAACAAACUGGUAGACUCAUCUGACCUGCCUAGAACCUUGUGUUGAUUCUAAAGACUGAACCCAAGCUCACCUGGAAGGGGGGACACCUGCUAUAUCUAGUUUUACUAUCAACUAAACUUUCACUACUGUAACUGAUAUCUCAGGGCCUUGAAAAUUACUAUUCAAUUAUGUCUUAUUAGCUGGAUGUGGUAGCUAAUUGAAUUAUAUGCAGCUUGACCCGGGAUAUAAUAUGAUCUAUGGUGUAGUUAAAUACUGUUACAACUAGCCUUUCUGAACUUUUGCUAUAUUAAAUAUUUGUUUGGUUUGUGUCUAGACCUAUCAGAUACUAAAUUGUGUGCUAUUGUGACCAUACUAUAGUGAAUCUUCAACAAGCAAAGUUACUGCUCAAUUUUUAAGUAAGGAAAUCAAAAUCCUGAAGAGACAUAUUUGCUUUUUAUCCAGUGACUGAUUUGGCACUAGAGACUCAGAGAAAAAAAAAAAGCUUAAUCAUUUUAUAUAUGAUGAGGAAUUCAAAGACAUUGUUCUAAAUAUAGUUAUCUGGUUCUUAAAUAGUUGUAUUACUUAAAGUAAUAAACAUACUGUAGUUCUUCCUUUUCCUUGGCGGAUACAUUCCAAGUCCCCCCAGUGAGUGCCUAAAACCUUGGAUAGUACCAAACCCUAUAUAGACAUAUAGACAAUUUUUUUCUACAUAUAUGUACCUAUGAUAAAGCUUGCUUUAUCAAUUAAACGUAGUAAGAGAUUAACUAAUAAUAAAAUAGAACAAUCAUAACAAUAUACUGUAAGAAAAGUUAUGUAAAUGUGGUCUCUCAAAAUAUCUUGGUGUACUGUACUCACCUAUUUUUUGGGCCUCUGUUUACCAAGUGCAUUGAAACCAUGGAACAUGAAACCAUGGAUAAGAGAGAACUACUGAAUUUCAUAGUAAGCAGAAGAAACAGGAGUUUGAUUUAACUACACAUAUUUCUUCACAAAUAAGUUAGAAAAAAUAUAAAAUAUUCAAGUUUACUAAGAUUACAUUUUAAAAUAAAAAUUAAAAGAGAAAUUAAAGUUGAUGACUGUGGUUUUAAACAUUUACACUCCUUACUUAUUUAUAGCAUUAAAAUAUUUUUAAAAUUAUGCAGAUAGAAUGACUUCUUUUUAAAAAGUCAUGGUUUUAAAAAAAGUUUUAACAUAUUCAUCCUGUAAUAACUCUUUUAUUUAAUAUAAAAAUGUUUUCCAGGGUUUUUAUAGUUUUGUGUUUUACAGUUAAGUCUUCAAUCUAUCUUGAAUUGAUUUUUGUAUAUGGUAUAAGGAAGGGGUCCAGUUUCAAUCUUCCGCAUAUUGCUAGCCAGUUCUCCCAGCAUCAUUUAUUGGAUAGGGAGUCUUUUCCCCAUUGCUUGCUUUUGUCAGCUUUGUUGAAGAUCAGAUGCCUGUAAGUGUGAGGCCCUAUUUCUAAGCUCUCUAUUCCAUUUUAUUGGUCUAUGUGUCUAUUUUUGUACCAGUACCAUGCUGUUUUGGUUACUGUACCCCUGUAGUAUAGUUUCAAGUCAGGUAUUGUGAUGCCUCCAGCUUUGUUCUUUUAGUUUAGGAUUGCCUUGGUUAUUUGGGUUCUUUCUGGGGUCCAUAUGAGUUUUAAAAUAGUUUUUUCUAGUACUGUGAAGAAUGUCAUGGUAGUUUGAUAGGAAUAGCAUUGAAUAUGUAAAUUUGGGGAAGCAGUAUGACCACUUUAAUAAUACUGAUUCUUCCUAUCUAUGAGCAUGGAAUUUUUUUUCAUUUGAUAGGGUGGAGGGUGGGAGAAGGGAGAGGGGCAGAAAAAAUAGCUAUUAGAUACUAGGCUUAGUACCUGAGUGAUGAAAUAAUCUUUAUAAUGACCCCCAUGGCACGAGUUUACCUAUAUAACAAACCUGCACAUGUAACCCUGAACCUAAAAUAAAAGUUAAAAAAUA